GUAUUUUGACAUUUUGUUUGUUUUCUUUGACACUGUUUUCAGUGUGGUGCGCGAGGGAGCUGCAAUAUCAGGAAAUUAAUUAAAUUAGAGAACGAUUGAGUGGCCGCACCGUGCAAAAGGCACCAAGAAGGUAUCCCGGAGUACCGUGGCAACGUGCGUGCGUGCACAGUGGUAGUGUGGAAUGUUUUGUGUGAGUGGUGUGUGACCUAAAAAGAAGCAAAAAGGUUUUCUUUUGCCAUCAAAAUACGCCUUUUUCCACACAUAAAUUGUGACAACUUCUCCCUGCGCCUACUGUGUUUGUGCCCGUGUGCCCCGGGGGCUUCCCCCCCUCAAGGUGCCGUACAGAUGUGGCUUGGCUGGUGGUGCAGUGAAUCCCAGUAGGGGGGCUACACACACCGUUGGUGUUUUGCCUUUUUGCAAAAGGGGCCCAUCAAUUUGCGCCGAGGUGUGUUGCUUUGGUGUUUACAAAUUUCCCCCAUAUCUGUGUGUCCGGAAGACAGAGACACACAUCUUUUGGGCCCCACGCAGUGCUGUGUGCGCGAGUGAGACGGGACGCUGUGGAAGAUUUUUCGUGCGAGGACAGACCCGAAGUGUAACGGGGCCCGUGCCCGAGAGAGAGCCGCGCGCGAGAGAGAGAAAAGUGCGUGGAAAAGAGUUUUUCCUGACCCUCCUCCGCAAGAGACGCUCUUCAUCUUACUCUCGCAAUUACGCGCGCCAAAAGUUCUCAUCCUCCUACACAUAAGAAAAGAAAAACAUUAAUCUGUGCGGAGAGGAGACAAUGUGAACUUCCAGUGAGGAGCCCCCAAGUUUAGAGUACGCGUGUGUGUGUGUGAGAGACUCCAGAAUGGAGCAAGAUAGUGAUUCGAGGAUUCCUUCUGUGGAGGAACUUCCACCAAGUACGAGUCCGGAAGUGAAGGAGAAGGAAGAGAAAUCUCCUGUAGUGGAAGCAGCAGCAGCAACUCCAGUUGAACCUCAACCAUCGUCUUCAACGCAGAGCGAUGGGAGUACACCUCAACCGUCAUCCAGUACAUCCCCACCAGGUGAUGCAGGCCCCGCGGGAGCCCCCGAGAAGCCCACAAGUCAAGAAGCACCGAAGAAGAGCACGGAGAAGGCAUCAAAGCGCGAUGGGGUGCGAUCGUACGCCAAUGGGAGCCUGCAGCCCACAACUGGUGGGAAACCCCUCAUGGCUGCCCUCACGCGGAAGCUGUCAAAGCCCCGUGGCAGGCCGAAGCGCAAAGCCCUCGUGAAGAUGUACCAGAGUGAGAUAAGUGACAACAAAUUGGGCAUUAAGUUGUGCAUCAAGAAGUCCGAUGCAGCGGCUCCGGUGAAGCAGAAGAGCAGCCGGAAGCGCUCACGGAAGUCCAAAGCAAAACGCGCCUCAGACAGUGAUGAUUCGGACUAUGAGAAGAAACGGCGGAAGGAGUUGAUAAAGCAACGGGCAAACAACAAUACGGAUCGAGGGAAGGAAGUUGUGGAAUUUGUGGAGCCCGAAGAGCAAAGUUGCUGGGGUUCAACCCUCCCGAAGAAUGUCCUCCACACAAUCUUCCUGUUUGCCGUCCAGGAGGAAGGAUGCCUGCCAACACUAAUCAAUCUCGGACGUGUCUGUACCCUGUGGCAUGAUGUCUCACUGAAUUCCGCCCUGUGGCACACACUGGAUCUCAGUGCGUGGGUUAAGGAUCGCUUCAAGACGGAGCUGAAGCUCAAGUGGUUCAUUGACAAUCGCCUGCGGGGGUGUCAGGAUGUCAAUGUGAGCAAUUGGAAGGUGACAAAUGUGCAAUGUGUGCUGGAGAAGAUGUACGAUGCCUGUCCAAAUCUCAUUGGGAUCACCCUUGCGGGCUGGAAGUUCCUCCUGAGUGAUCAUCUCAGCUACAUCGUUGAGAACUUCCGGAAGUUGGAACGGCUCGAUUUGAGCUCAAUUAAUCUCGAAGCGAAUGCCAAUAAGACCGCCGUGGGCUUCACAUCACUCUGCAAUGCCAUUCAGGGGCUCAAUACGCGCCUUACGCAUCUCGUGCUGGCACACAAUAAACUCGGUGGACUCCCACAGAUCAUCUCUGCCCUGGCGACGCACUGCCCAAAUUUAGUUUUGCUGGACUUUUCAAACAUUUGCACCCUGGCCAUGUCUCAUGCCAUCCUGCACAUUGAGAAGCUCCAGCAGGGUUGUCCGAAACUCAAGGUGCUCCGGAUAACAAAUGCCCAAAUCACGUUGAGUCAGAUAACGCUUCAGGAGCAGAUGGACUCUCCGGGCUUUCCGGAAUUGGAGGAACUGAGUGUGGCCUCCUUGGCGGAAUCGCGCGUCAUUAAUGAUGAUUUCGUGCAGAGAAUCCUAAAGACAAGUACAAAAUUGAAGCUACUGGAUGUGCGGGGUUGUGCACGACUCACGCACGACAGUCUCAUUCGUCUCCCAGCGUGGGACAUUAAGCAUCUCUUCCUGUCCGGAUGCUCAGUUACUCGGGACUAUGGGUCCGGAUUGGAGUUAAUUGCCUCAAAGUGGGCACAUAGUCUGACGGAGAUUGAUCUGGCGUGGGCUAAUGUGCAAGGACCACUGGAUAAUGCUCUUAAAGCGCUGGCGGAGAAGAAAUCUGAAUCUCCUCUCAGGUAAAUUCCAUUUUUUUCUUUUUUGGUUAAUUGAUUAAAUUUUUAUUCGAAUUUUGAAUGAAUAAAAUUGAAUUAUUUUCGGUAAAAUCAUUACAUAUUCUUAUUCAAAUUCUGAAUAAAUAAAAUAAAAUUCAAUAAAAUUCAAGCUAAAUUUUCAAUUAAAAUUCUGCAAAUUAUUCUUCAAUAAAUAGGGAAGAGUGGGGCCGAACGAAUGACUUUAUAUUAAAUGUUAAUGAAGUUUAUUAGCGACAGAAAUUGAUCAUUAUGUUGAAAAACAAAUACUGAGGAAUGUAAAAAACAAAGAAAACAGCUUAACAGCGACGUUUCGAUUUUUUGUUUCCUUAAGGUUGAAUUUAAUUAAUUUAAUUUAAUUUUCAAUAAAGAAUUAAAUUGGUUUUUAUUAAAACUAAUCAUUUUAAUUCAAAUAAAUUUCAAUUUAUAAGAAUAAAAUUUAAGUGAAAAAAACCCUUAAUCUUUAAUAAAAAUUCCCCAACACAUAAUUGAUUAUUCUUUAAAAAAAAAUAGGGAAAACUGGGGCGAAGAAAUCAUUUUAUUGAAAAACGAGAUUAACCCAUUUCUGCAGGCUCCUAGACACUCUUGACAGAUUAAAAUGAAAAUUUCAUAAAUUUUCUUGACUAAAAAAAUGUUUGGGGAUAAACUAGAAAUUUUUAGGUUAUGUAGAAUCUCAGAUAUUUUGAAGUUAAGAUUUUUCACGAUUGCAUAAUCCGAUUCAAACAAAUUAAAUUUAUAAAUUUUCUUUGUUUUUUUGAAGAACAUUUCGAAAAAAAAAUUAUCAAAAUCGGUCCAGUAGAUAUUUUAUAAUAAAAGAAAAUGUUAGUUCAAGGUCGUUUGAAAAUAAAGAUGGCGCCAUUUUUAUUAGAACGAUAUAUCUUCAAUCACUUCUAAAAAAAAUUUCGUCAGAAUAAAACUUAAUGAUUUUUUCCUGGAUAGAAAAACAUGUUUGCUCGGUUAUAUUGACUAAACGGCUUUACCGAUUUUCAGCUUAAAUUAAUAAUUUUCAUAAUUUUAUUUAUUUUUUACUAAUUGGAAAGAAAUAAUUAUCUCUAAAUCAUACUAAAAUAUUUAGACUGAAAUUGAUAAAAAUAAAUAAUUACAAGAACUCAAAGAAUCUGCUCAACUUUGCCACCCUUUCCCCUAUUAAAACAGUUUUAUUUAAUUCUGAAAUUAAAACAAAAAAAGGAUUUAUUUUUAAGAGAAUUUUCCAAGGAAAUAAGGCAUUGAGAGCUCCUUAAUUCUUUACUUUGCAGCCACCUAAACUUGUGUGGAUCAUCAGUUUCAUUGGAGGCUGUCAAGGAGAUCCUCAGCAAUUGUCCCCUACUGAGCUCCAUAAAUUUAUCCUCAUGCCGUGGGCUACCGCGUGGUUUCAAGCGCCUCCUGCAGGGCCCCACGGAGAUCACGGAAUUGCGUGAGAAUCUCGGGGCGCCCCUACUUGUGGGGCCCAAGAAGGAGGACGCCGAAUGAAUGAAUGUUUUGGGGCAUGGGCAGUAAGUGAAUGUGCGUGAUUUGAGUGGCAAUUUGCGUGCGUGAACACACAAAAAUUCUCCGAAGAAAUCUCCAUGGGGAGAAGGAACUUCCCUGAUCCUUCGCAAGGAUUUCUAACGUAAGUUACGUAAUGAAAAAUCUUUUAAUUAUUAUGAAAGAAAAGUUUUAAGAAGAAAAUGAAUUAAUUAAUUAAGAAGAAAGGUGAAGAGAGAACUAACAGAAAACAAAUAAAAUGAAAUUUAAGGACACAUUUUUACACCCAAAUAUCGCGUAAAGGACGUAUAAGAAAAAAGAUUAAUUAAAAUUAGAAAAUAAUUCAGAAUCACACAAAAAAUGAAUUUUGUGAUAAAAAAAAAUCAAUAGAAAGAGUUAAAGAAAAAUUAAUUAAUUAAAAAUGCAAUUAACAAAAAAAAAAAGGAUAUUGAAGGUAAGUCUUUACACAACACACACAAACACACAACAUUGACAUAGUUAUGUAAGGGAGAGCAUAGAAAGAGCAACAAAUAAAAUUUAAGGAAUUGUGUAUAGAAAAAACAAAAUAUUUCUUUGGUGUUGCAAAAAAAAAGAUUUUUUAAUAAAUAAAAUUAAAAAUAGAAAGAGAAAGAACAAAAGAAAAUUAAACUGCAUGUGAUAAAAAACAUUUUAGCUUCGCUAAUAUUGCAAUUAAUUUGUGUUUAAUCACGCAGAAUUAAUCAGUCUCUGAUUUGGAUUUAAGGGUUUAAGUCUUAAGAAUUAAAUUCUCAAGUUUUGUGAAUAAAAAAAAAUCAGAAAAAAGGAAAGUUCUUAGAAGAAAAAUUGGAAAAAUUUAAUUUUUAAAAUUAGAAGAGAGGGAAAAAUUUUAACAAAAGAAUUCUUUAAGAUUUUAACCCUUAAAUUCACGCCAGAGUGGAUUUUAGAACAAAAAUAAAGAAAAACUCGAAGAUUUCUUGAGUAAGUUGGUGGUACAAAUUUUUUAGUGUGGAUAUUUUUUUUUAGCUUUUUGCAACUUGAAAAGCUGUAAAAAAGAGAAAAUCUAAUAAGAAAGAAAAAUCAUCUUAAAAUCUUCUGCAUCAGCAUUUUUUCUUGAUCUCAUUUCUCACUUUAGAACAAAGCUUUUAUUGCUACAUAAUAUAUUUUUUCUUAAUUGAAAAUUGAACAAAGAAGAAAAGCAAUAGAAGGGAUUUAUUUUUAUUUUCUGUUUGUGAAUUAAAUGGUUUGUUUUUCAAUUGUACUAAAAAAAAUUAACAGUUUAGUACUCACAAUUUUAGUACUGAUUUUUUAUCGCCUUUAAAGGAUCUACUUUUGACGCAAAAAUAGCUCUAAGGGCACGGAAAACUGUGAAAUAAUCCAAAAAUCAAUCAUGUACUAAAAUUGAAGGUACUAAACAGUUGUUUAAUCGGUUAUUAUUGAAAAACUCUAACUUGGUAUUUUUUGGUAUUCUGUCUUGGAGGAUUGUGGGAUUUCACAGUUCUAAAAACUUUAGUACAUACUUUUAGAACUCAUAGCCGAGACAUUCUUCGCUCUCUAAAACAAAAGGAUUUUAUAUUUUGCCAGAUUAUUUAUCAGGUGAGACACAUUUAACGAAUUUGACGCUACAAAAGAAAUAUUUUUAUUAGUGCUCCUACUAUACGAAGAAAGUCCUACGUAGAUAUAACAUGUGUCUUGACUAAAAAAGGUCUAAAAAUAUAAGUUUUUAGAACUGUCAAAUCAUACAAAGAUUACACACAAUUUUUUUUAAAGAGUUCUCCAAUAUUUUUUAAAUGAAAAGUCUUUGAAAUAAAAUGAAAAGAAAUAUCAAUCUCGAUAUUUAAUCUAAUUUGUACAAAAGAAAAAUAUUUGCAGAAUUAAACAAAAAAGAGAUUUAAAUCGAAUUAUUAAAAAAUAUAAAUUAAUUAGGGGCAAUGGGAACGACGUAGUUGUGUUUUCCACGUAGAAAAGUAAUUUUCCUAAUUGUUGUGUGUGCUUCAUAAUUUUCUCGCGCCUUGCAAAAUAAACAAAAAAAGAAAACAAAUACAUUAUUAACAAUAAAAGAAAACUUAUGAUGAAGAAAUAUUUUUAGCUAAUAGUUAAAAUAAUUAAAUGAAAAAUGCCAGGCAGUGGUCAACAAAUUCCCAAAAUUUCAUGUUUGUUCAUUUUUGAAAUUUUAUUUUUCAAACUUUUGAAAUUUUGACAGAUUUUUAGAGAAUUUUCUGUUGAUUUUAAGGACUUGUUUCAGAUCUCAAUUGACCCGUUUUUUUUCCUCCUCCUGUUGACCAUUCCCAUGGCAUUUUUUGGUCACGUUAAAAAGUCUGCUUGCACGCAAAAUGAAAAAAUGUACAAAGAAAAUAUAUUUCCGUAACAAAUUAUCUUUAGAUUUUUACUUUUUUUCUAAGUUUUAAAUCUUUCAAAAGAAAAUCAUUCUUCAUAAGCAAUUUUUUCUUGUUUUCUUCUUCAAAACUUUAAUAAAUCACAGCUAAUGAAAAACUAUCAUCUCAUUCUGAAAGAAAACUCACGAAAAUCUCAUUUUUUUAGCUGAAAAAAUUGCAUAAAACACAAGAGAAAUUAUAGUUAUAAAAAGUAGGGUUAUGUAAAAAAUAAAACGUAAUUUGUGCACAAAAAAAGUGGAAACAAAAGGAGAAAAAAGUUGUAAAAAAUGAUUUGAAAUUUUAGUAUGAGAGUAGUGCUAAAAAAAUAUAUAAAUACAUUUUAAUUCUUAAGUUCUUUUGAAAAAUGAGGAAAAAUGAGAUAUUAAUCAAUAUAAUAAAAUAAGUGUAAGAAUAUUAAAAGAAAAUUAUUAAAUAAUAAAAAUCACACACAAUUAAAAAAAAUGAAAGAUUAUAAAUUAGUAUUUAAUACUUAAGAGAGGAUUAAAUAGACAAAAGAAAACACUAUAUUAAGGAAUUGUAUAGAAACAUUAUACACGUUAAUUGAGACAGAAAAAAAAUAAAAGAAAUCCCGAGUUAAUUUUA
This is an RNA transcript of Lutzomyia longipalpis, 7025 nucleotides long. It is a transcript of the gene named F-box/LRR-repeat protein 6, with no coding region annotated. The transcript has 6 exons. NCBI's taxonomy places the organism in Eukaryota, Metazoa, Arthropoda, Insecta, Diptera, Psychodidae. The record is from RefSeq and is a predicted model, not a curated record.